RNAcentral lists this long non-coding RNA (3985 nucleotides) under Neodiprion pinetum (white pine sawfly). RNAcentral describes it as "uncharacterized LOC124211087". Lineage: Eukaryota; Metazoa; Arthropoda; Insecta; Hymenoptera; Diprionidae. The record is from RNAcentral.
GAAUUUCAUCUGAUGCAUGCUUGAGACUAGCUUACAACUUUUUUCCCCAGUCGUCACCUCGAUUCUUGAAUUUUCUAAUUAGCGUGUCGUCAAUUAUAGCACUUAGAGAUGCCCCAGUGACCCAGUUAAUAAAGUAGCACUAGGUACUGUAUACAAUGCGUUUUCCAAAUUCUCUUCUCCACUUUAUCACCUCGCAUUAUUCAGUUAUUUUACAAUAAAUACUCCGUCAUUCGUCUGUGGAUCGUCAUGACGCUGGUCAAUCGGAUCUUCGACCAAGGCUUGCCUCGCCCAUGGAAACGCGUAAUGGACGAAGUCGAUCAACAGCACCGCGGCAUUGAUCAGACACGAAAUGGCCAAAAUCAGUUCUUGCCACCUAAAAAUCCCAAAAAAUCAGGCAUCGAGACUAAAAGACAUUGCGAAUCAGCAGAAAGCAUCUACAACGUCUUACCCAAUUGUUCUGGCGUCUCCUACUACACUGCUGAACCACGAUGCCCAUUGAUAUAUCUCGAACACCCCGCAUAUGAAACUCACGAUGCAUCCCAAGCCGGCAAACACCGUUUCCUACACUUGGCAAGAUUAGUGAAUGGGGUUAUAAUGCGCUUGGAGAAGUUAAUUGACAGGUUUAUUAUGCAGUCAAGUUCACAGUUGGCUUCCUUUAGAGAUACGUGAGACGAAGUACUCACUAUGAAAGUAUGUGGACGUCCCAUCGCGCUCACGGAUAUUUCGGAGAAGUUGACGAUUAUGUACCCGCUAACAAAUGUUGGUAUCAGGAUCCUGAUCCAGUUCGGAUAAAAGACGAGGACUGGUUGGACGUAGCCAUAGGAGGCUAGACAACAACAGCACUAGGAUCAACCAUUGAGGGUUAUCUCACCAAGGAAAUAAAUUUGCACGCCAAGGAUACGUUCAUCAAUCAGUCAAGACUUCCACGUGCAGUUUUACUCCGAGCACCCCAUUGACACAUUCUUGAAAGGCUGAUAAACUCGUUUUAUUCAUUCACGAAGGAUGCACCAAAAAAAAAAAAAAAAUGUUACGGGACGAAGGCAGGAAUUAUAAUCAGCUGUCGAAGAUUUAGUACCGCAUUGGCAUGUCCUAGUCCUGGUUGGUUUCGUCUUGGUAUUGCUUCAGGAUAGGUUCACCUGGCCAAAUAGCUUGACGAUGGUAUUUUGCAUAGACACAGGAACCUAUACGAUUAUAUUGAUGGUUAUUUUGCUAGCCUAUGUGCUAGAGCAGCCACAUCAGCUGAUCGUUAGUUUACAGUAAAAAAAAAGAAUAGAAUGAUCUCUGCCGGAAGUGGAAACUGCAAUGUUUUAUAAAAGAAAUUCUUAUGAAAGGAAUUGAGGUUCACGGUUAUUGGCGUCGUCGUCUUCGUGAUUGGCAGUAUCAUGGCGUUUCGUAACUACGAAGAAGUGCAAGAUGGGUCAGACGGGAAAGUUUCAAUGCUCGAUUUCCAUCUGGGCAUCAUCCUCUCGGUCACAGCUAUUGUCAUGGUCUUCGACACAUUCCUCGGCAUGAAAUAUAUCGGCGAUGUCAUGAACCGAGACUGAAUUUCAGUACGAUGCUGGACCCCGACGAUUCAAUAAUGACUGGUUAAUUUUUUUCUCUUGAAUGAUUAUUAAUGUUACAUUAUCAUAGCCAGAUACAAUGGAAACAGUAAGAAAUAGAAAAAGCAAAUGUUUGGUCAGGAAUGUUUUUUACUUCUAGACAUAUCUGAAGAUCUUUAUUUCUCAUUGUCUUUGAAGCAUUUAUGGAGCAUCAGGUGGUCUCGGUGUAUCGCGAUUUCCUCCUGACCCCAUCUUCAUCCUCGUCCUCAUCAUCGGUUGAGCUGUGCGUCUCGAUUACUUUUGGUGUAGAAUUGCAUGUCAGGUCCAGAACCAUGGCGAUGGAGCAUGCUUAAAAACUCAAUAUUAUGUAAAUACCAUCACCUUUCUUUAAAAUAACGACCAAUUAUUCAUCUGCUUACCGUACAUCCAGAAAGCCAACAUUCCCUCGGACACGUAGGAGUAGGGCUUUCCAUCUUUCGUCUCUCUCUCUUGGAAGACGAAAACUCUGAGCACCAUCAAAGUAGCUGAUAUGAAAUUGAGGGCUGCUCCCAAGCCCGUGAAGAGAACGGACUAUGUUAAGAAACAAUGUCACAAGAAAAUGAAUGGUCAAACGAUUUUACAGUUCUUACCACAAAAUACUGCGGCUUUUCAGACAGUCCAACGCAUAUCAGUGCAAUUGAUAUUAAGACGUAGCCGAUCGUGCUGACGACCAAGAGCGUGAACACAGGAACGUUCCAGUAGCUCAUUCGCCAAUUACUCACGAAGAUAGAACCAACGGCACAGAGGCCCUGCAGCAAACGUAUAAUAUUUUGACCACGUUCAAUCAGUGUCCGAAUCGCAUUUACGCGAUCAGUAAAUGCGUAUGCUUGCGCCUUUUACUUACGGCUUCGGUUAUCUUGAAUCCAAUUAGUCCGUAGUCGAUGAGCUCAAUUAUUGCCAUAGCGGUAAAUAUUGCACCUUGCAGAUAUACUUUUAGGCUAAACUUCGACGAUGUCAGUCUGUUUCUUCAAAUUUUUCAAACGAUUUUAAGCGACGUAACAUCAAGACGAGAUCGCGCCUUCGUGGAACUUAAAAGCACGAUUGGAAGCUUUGAAAAAAUUACCUACAGAUGCAUCCGAUCUUUUUUCGUGGCAGCAAGUACUGCACAAAGCUACUGGAAUGGGUUAGAAAAAACAAACAAGUGGAGUUAUUUUAUUUCGUGUCAAGAUUUCAAAGAUUUCGCAUUUCGAAAUUUCCAAGUCCACAUCAUAUUUCAAAAAUAGAUUACAUGCUUCGUGUGCAUCGUCUCUGCGUGUUACAUGGAGGUAGAUUCUUGGCCACGAGGGGCAUUCGUCGUAGCAUUGACGUCAUGUGGCACCAGUCUCGUGAUCAGUACCGUCUUCAUCGUGUCCCACGCGACAAGAAACGUCCACGAAUUCACCGUACGUACGAAUCAGCGAAAAUAUUUUCUCGGCCUUGUUACACGAACUACCAAUGCUGUGACAUUUUCUUUCAGGAAGCCGUGUUUGACGUUUUAUGUAUAGCAAUUUUGGCCGUUGGAAUUUGCGUGUCAGUCAAGCAGCGGAGCGGUAACAAACUCGACGAGCUCUUCAUCGGCCUUUUGGCUCUGAACGUCCUCUUCUUUCUCUCGGACUUGGUCGUUUAUCGAAUAGUAUACGACCCCGUUUUGUGCUGCUGGAUAGCGGUGAGGCCAUUGGUAAAAACCGACGACGAUCGGAAUGAGCGCAACGACGAUUAGCUCCAGAGAAACCGCUCCAAAUAUUUGACCAACUUUUCUAAUAGAUAUAUCAAGAUCAUACCCAUCACUCGGAAUUGCGCGUCAAUUUAAAUGGGUUGAUAUGAGUCGAGAAUUUUAUUCGUGCGUCAGCUUUAUUUUCAACUCAAACACGCGCUCGGGUUUUUGGUAUUCAUGAAUAUACAUUAUAUAAUGUACAAAAAGAUGAAACUGUACAAGUUUGAACACCUGUUCAGCUAUCGUGGAGUACAUGAAUUGGCAGUCUUAUGCGACAUGUUUGAUCGAAUGACUCGUUACAGAACCCCACGCCUAUGCACAAAUUGUGAACGAGGCGAUUGGUACAUUGAAAAAGAAUGAAGAAAAAUAUAAUCGGGUUGUUAUAAUCAUUAAUUGCACUUAUCAUACGUAAAAUAAUACAUAUUAAUAUACCUACAUAAUAUAAUGUAAUACCUAUAGAUACUCAAAUGUGUGUAUUAUAAAAAUAUUACCAUUUCUAACUUGUACUAAUAUUUUGCAUAACAUUUCGCGACAAUAUAUAAUGUUUUAUGCAGGUGCGAUAAUUGUCUGAUAAGUUAUCAAAUUGUCGGUAAACUUUGACGAAACGUCGUGUCCAGUUGAAAUGAAAUUAAGUGAACUUGGAAAAUCGUUCACACGCUAUAUCAAAUUUAAAAGAUGUAUAACUCGAAACCUUUAUACUCGCUUAUAAAAA